This 1847-nucleotide long non-coding RNA is filed under the name Nicotiana benthamiana. Its description in RNAcentral is "long non-coding RNA (NBEN_LNC030122)". Lineage: Eukaryota; Viridiplantae; Streptophyta; Magnoliopsida; Solanales; Solanaceae. The record is from RNAcentral.
AAAUCUGAAAAUUAGACCUUAGAGAUUUUAUGAGAGAAAAUUUCAGGAAAAACAAAAAACAACUGGAAAAUUUGCUAAAAUUACUGUUCCAUUGAAUUUCUUCUGUAAUUCUUGAGGUUUUUUUCCAAUUUCUGAAGUGAUUCCUGAUUUACCUGGGGUUGAAAUGGAUUGAACUUAGGUUUUGAAUAAUUUUGGGUUGAGUUUCUGCUGUCAGUCUACUGUUCCAAUGGGUUUGUUGAGCUGAUUUCACUAUUUUAUUGUUGAAUCUGGGCUUUAGCUAAUUCUGAUGCUGCUUCUUUCCCUAGAUUUAACUUUUUUUCCUUUCAAAUUUCCAGGUACAUGUUCCUAGAUUCAUCUCACAUGAGGUUUGAUAUUGAAAUGAAAUUCAGAGUUCCAAAUGUGGCUUCUGCAUAUUCAAAUCUAUUAGUUUAGUUUCAGUUGUUUAUUGGAGUUAUUUGAUGUUGUAUGCUUAACAUGGGAGCUAUUAGUCAACUUCGAUCUGUUGAAGUUAGUAUAGCCCUUGUAGUAAUUUUACUUACUUCUGAAAUUUUUAUUGUUAUAGCUGAGGUAAGGAAACUUGAUAAAAAUAUUGAUCAUUAGCUAAGUUUUGUGAUUAAGCCAUGUUAGCCAAGUGUACGGUAUUAUGGAAUUGUCAAGGUACUGCAGCAACAUACUUCUUCAAACACCUGAGUUUUAGCCUUAAUUUUGGUUGAAAUAGGUGCUCUUGUUUGUAGGUGAUUUUGUAUUAAAACAACUAUUAUGAUAAUUAUAAGUUAGAGGUGGAGGUGAAUGAUGUAUAGCCUAUUAUGUUUAAUGUAUUGUGAUAUAUCAUUAAAUGCAUAAUUGGUUAUUGUGUGAUGUUCCGUCAUGCAUUCAUGGUAGAUAUAGUCUGAUUUUUUCCUAUCAGUUUGUUUUAAUUGUCAUACAAAUCAGUUAAAUAUUUUGAUGUUGGUAAAAUGAGGUUUUAGAGCACAAUAAGUUUGGGGUUCAAUUUCUAUAGCUGGAUUAUUUUGAGCUUGUAGGGAAUCGACCUAGGAUUCAUACUUUAACAUCUCCCCUUCCCUUGUUAGAUUUGGGCUUAACUUGGGCCCAAAACCUUGAAACCAUUUGAACAUAGACAACAAUAAUCCUUGCUAUCAUGUGUUCUUCAUGGGAUCAAUAUUUAAUUUCAAUGGGCGUGUGUGCAGUCUUGUGUUCUUGCAGGGUGACGAUCAUGAGUCCCAGCAUUACAACUGGCUACAUUUUAAAUAUUGGGCUUCAUGUGUAAUUUAGUUUAAGUCACCGAAAAUCAUUGGUUCGGUAGCAUGCGUAAUAAGUAAUUGGGCUCUCCUUUUGGGCCCAGGGUUGAAAUGGGAUUGGACUUCUGAUUAAUUGUUCUUGCACCGUAAGUUCAAACUUACAUAAAAGGCUUUUGAAUUCCUAGAGUUUUAUUAAUUAGCUUGAUUUUUCUUUUGAGGUGUGCUAUCUUAGAGAAUACGAAUAGUUUAUGGCUCUUAGAACUUUAGCUUGAGUUCCCUAGUAAAAUAAAUUGAGGCGUGUCGUGCCUUACAAAUUUUUUAAAUAUGUGGCGCUCAUUUAAUUAUUUUUUUUUAAAUCCUUAGAACUCGAGGCUUGCCACUUAGCCAAUUUUCUAUGGCCCUCGCAAAGUAAAAAUGCGUAGUUGCUUUAGGCGCGUUAUAUUAAUAAUUAUUUUCCUUAAACUUGGGUGUGAAUUUAUAUGACCCAAAUCCAAAUCUCAACAAUAUCUGAUAAAAUAUGUCAUGGACCGCGGGUGCAUUUAUGUGACGUAGUUCAAGACGUAUUUUAAAGUAACUUUGAAAUCUUCAAAAAAAAUAUUUAAAUAAAAG